RNAcentral lists this ribosomal RNA (396 nucleotides) under uncultured bacterium. RNAcentral describes it as "partial 16S ribosomal RNA". It matches the Rfam family "Bacterial small subunit ribosomal RNA", at positions 523 to 918 of the family's 1533-position model. The record is from RNAcentral.
AUACGUAGGGAGCGAGCGUUGUCCGGAUUUACUGGGUGUAAAGGGUGCGUAGGCGGGUUUGCAAGUCAGACGUGAAAUACCGGGGCUUAACUCCGGGGCUGCGUUUGAAACUGUAGAUCUUGAGUGAAGUAGAGGCAAGCGGAAUUCCUAGUGUAGCGGUGAAAUGCGUGAAUAUUAGGAGGAACACCAGUGGCGAAGGCGGCUUUCUGGGUUUUAACUGACGCUGAGGCACGAAAGCGGGGGGAGCAAACAGGAUUAGAUGCCCUGGUAGUCCACGCCGUAAACGAUGAUUGCUAGGUGUGGGGGGACUGACCCCCUCCGUGCCGGAGUAAACACAAUAAGCAAUCCACCUGGGGAGUACGACCGCAAGGUUGAAACUUAAAGGAAUUGACGGGG